UACGAAGGGGGCUAGCGUUGUUCGGAAUUACUGGGCGUAAAGGGCGCGUAGGCGGUGUGUCAAGUCAGGCGUGAAAGCCCCGGGCUCAACCUGGGAACCGCGCUUGAGACUGGCACGCUCGAGUUCGGGAGAGGAUGGUGGAAUUCCCAGUGUAGAGGUGAAAUUCGUAGAUAUUCGGAGGAACACCAGAAGCGAAGGCGGCCAACUGGCCCGAUACUGACGCUGAGGCGCGAAAGCGUGGGGAGCAAACAGG
This 253-nucleotide ribosomal RNA is filed under the name uncultured bacterium. RNAcentral describes it as "partial 16S ribosomal RNA". It matches the Rfam family "Bacterial small subunit ribosomal RNA", at positions 524 to 776 of the family's 1533-position model. The record is from RNAcentral.